Molecule: long non-coding RNA, 870 nt
Filed under: Salmo salar (Atlantic salmon)
Lineage: Eukaryota; Metazoa; Chordata; Actinopteri; Salmoniformes; Salmonidae
Description: lncRNA (ENSSSAG00000116909.1, ENSSSAG00000117841.1)
Source: RNAcentral
GGCUGGGGGUUCUGCAGGGGUCAGCAUGCACCCACCAACCCCCUCUCUGGGAACCCUUUGUUCUGGGGGCUGACUGUGCCAUAUGUGGGGACCAAUGAUAGAGAUGCACAGCAGGGAGGAGGGGAAAACUUGUUACGCUGUUGUAGUGAGCUAAUUACUACACUUACCUAGUUGAUAGAAGAGCGCUCAUGAGUUUCUGUGCCAAUGCACCAUACAACCAAUAAGCAAAGCAUACCAACUUCGGGCACUUCAACAUCAAGGAAUUGUUAAGCACAGUAUUCAAACCACCCACACUAACUGGAGAUUGAACUGCAAGAAUUGAGGAUUCUGCAGUUCACCAUUGAUAAAUAUGGAUUUAUCAAUGGGUCAAAGACCCCAGCCACCCCAGUAAAGACUGUUCUCUCUACUACUGCAUGGCAAGCAGUACCGGAGUGCCAUGUCUAGGACAAAAAGGCUUCUCAACAGUUUUUACCCCCAAGCCAUAAGACUCCUGAACAGCCCUUACAGAAUUACCCACCAACAACGGACCAAGCAGCGGAGGAAGGAGAAGCGCCAGGAGAGGAGCGUUCAGGAUUCGUGGACUUGGGAGGAAAUCCUGGACGGGAAAGGACCAUGGGCUCAAGAUGGGGAUUAUCGCCGCCCGCAGUGGGAGAUCGAGGCGGCGAGAGCUGAGAGGCGCUGGUAUGAGGAAAGGGAGCGCAGCAGACACGAGAGGCAGCCCCCCAUUUUUUUUGGGGGGGGCACACGGGAGAUUGGCAGAGUCAGGCGGUAGACCUGAGCCAACUCCCUGUGCUUACCGGAAGCAGCGUGGUACUGGUAAGACACCGUGUUAUGCUGUGGAGCGCACGGUGUCCCCAGUGCGCGUUCAAA